This 2802-nucleotide unclassified non-coding RNA is filed under the name Dimorphilus gyrociliatus. RNAcentral describes it as "dgyrCDS10651". The record is from RNAcentral. Lineage: Eukaryota; Metazoa; Annelida; Polychaeta; Dinophilidae.
CAAUAAAAACCAAGAGUUCAUCAUUUAAUGGCGGCCUCCAAGGGCACACGAGAAAUCUAAAAUCUUGUGAAAUUCAUAUUAUUCCUUAAACUUUUAAACAGUAAAUAAAGUAUUUACAAAUAUAAUGGCAUCAGCACCACCAACUCCGCCUUUGGUAACUCCUGCGCCGCCAACCAAUCAACCGGCAGAUAUCGACGAUAAUAAGGUACCGCAGGACUCGGGAGACUCUGGAAGAAAUCCUGGGACCUUUGAAGACAUUCAUAAAAAAACUCGAGAUGUUUUCCCUAACCCUUUCGAAGGAGCCAGACUCGUUGUGAAUAAGGGUUUAUCGAACCAUUUUCAAAUAAACCAUUCGCUGACCUUGUCUUCACUGCAACAAUCGUGCUAUAAAUUUGGCGCAACCUACGUAGGAACAAAGCAGAUAUCACCUAACGAAGCUUUCCCUGUUUUACUAGGAGAUAUUGAACCAAGCUCGGGAAAUGUAAAUGCUAAUAUAAUUCAUCAGUUUACCGAUAACAUUCGUACUAAAUUUGUUACCCAAAUUCAAAAUAAAAAGUGGGCUAUUUCUCAGCUGGCCAAUGACAUCAGGGGCUACAAUUACACAGCAACCGUAACUAUUGGCAAUCCUGAUUUGAUGACAGAAUCGGGAGUUUUAGUAGCUCAUUAUUUACAAAAUAUUACUAAAAAUCUGGAUAUGGGUGCUGAAUGGAUCUAUCAAAGAAGCCCUAAUGUUCCUGGAGGUCAAAUGGGAGUUGUAUCUGUUGGUGGGCGAUAUGUGAGAGGACCUUGGACAUUCAGUGGAAACUUAACUUUAUUUUCUCUAUCGGAAAGUAGUAUACACGGUUGUUUUCAUAGAAAGCUGAAUGAAAGUCUUCAGUUACGAUCUAAGUCAACAUGAAAACUAUUAUUAAAGUACUCAGUAAUUUAGAAAGAUUUGGAUGAUGCGUGAGAUCGUUACAACAUAAAAGACAUAACGGAAUUGGAAUAUUUACGAAGAAAGAAUAAGUUUAUAUAAGUGAAUUAAGAUUAUAAAGUUCCAAAGAGAGGUUUAGAAAGUCUUCUAUAGGAUAUUAAUUAUGACAAACGAGUGGUAGUAGAGGCCUCAGUUUUUUCCACAAAGCCCUUAUUAAAUUCCGUUGAAAUAGAGCGUGGUUAAUUAGUUUUAUAAAGUUACAGAAUCUUUUUUGCGAUACAUUUUUAGAUAUUAAAUAACAAUUUUUUUAUAAUAUAAAAAGAAAGCUUUCUUGUCAGCUUGGAACAUUUCUCAGUCGAAACGAUGAAACGAUACACUUUGUUAUUAAGACUGCUUGAUAUUUUCAUUUAUCCAAAUAAAAAUGGAUAACUAACCGUAUUUAUCUUGUUAAAGUAAAUAAUUUAGGAAUUUUUUCAUUUUAUAAAGAAAAGGUGGCAGUAUUUAAGUUAUCAGCUAAAAAUUUCGGAUUCGACCUCUGCCCUACUUAGGGAACAUUCUCCGCAAAUUUUACAAUUUCUUUUUUUCAUUAUUCUUUACGUUACUUCUUUCAUCUUAUUUAAUAGCGAUUUAAAUGUUUAUAAGAAGAGUAGACAGUUACAGCUUUAAUUAUUUAUUUUACUAGCAUAGCUCAUUUAUUAUUUUUACAUUAUUUCUUAUCAGAUCGCUGGAGAAAUCGAAAGCAAUCAGAGAACUAAAGAAUGUACAGCGACCAUAGGCUAUCAAGUCGAUCUUCCCCAGGCUCAUCUUACUUUCAGAGGUAAUAAUUUAGCGUAAAUUUCGAAGGUUGCUAUUUUUUAUCUUAUGUAAAAUGUCUCUUCUAUUCCUACAGGCCAAAUCGACAGUAAUUACCAAGUAGGCGCUGUUUUCGAAAAGAAAUUGCCCCCUCUUCCCUUCACUUUCCAGAUGAGUGGAUGGGCUAAUCACGUCAAGCAAACUUUUAGAUUUGGUUUAGGAUUGAUGAUUGGUUGAAAAAUAUUUCUUUAAAAAAACUGUGUUCAUAAAGAAUAUGUAACACCGCAAAAAAUAUGCAACAAUAUAAAAAAGAAUAAAACAAGAAGACGUUAUAGAACAAAAAUAUAAAUAAAUGAAUAAGAAAAGAUUUGUAAUUAUUUUUUCUUCUUAAAUUAAUUAAUAACUUUCACCUCCGAUCUAAUUUCAGUUGAUAGCAAUCUCACAAUUUCAUUUUGACAGUCUCUUUUUUAUUUAUUAUUCACUAUCUCAGUUUCUUCUAGACCAUGUUCGAUUGAUAAUUCAAAUUCAUUUUUUUCUUAUUUCUUAUCAUUGUUAAUAUUUAUUAAAAAAAAUGUAAGCGUUUGCCGAGUAUUGUGCAAUAUAUUUUGAUGUUACAUCAUUUCUCUUUACCUUUCUAUAACAUAAGCUGGCUUCCUGGGAAUAGAAAGUUAACUUUAUAAAAAUGAUGAAUAGCUCAAAACUGUUGAUCUGUUGCAAAAUGCCUUUGAGCAUAAAGUUAAGGAAAAGAAAAUUGGGAUUUAUGACGGUCCGAUUUCAGCCUAGAGCGAUAACACUUGGCAUCAACUCGGACGGCUGACAUUUUACAGCAAUUGAUAUUUUUUAACAGACUCGCCUCCUAACCCCCACCCUCUAUUUUUCUCACUCUCUCUCACUGGCUAGCUUACUUUCCUUCAACUGCAAUCAUCUAUUUAAAAACAAAAGAGAGAGAGAGAGAGGGUUCAUAAAUAUCUGACAUAACUGAAAAUAUAUACUUGGCCAGAUUUUUAUUCCAUCUAAGAUGAUUUAUGUAAUUAGGUAAUUUCUCUUUACCUUUGCAUAAUGCGCAAAUAAACAUUCUACAUAUAUAUAUAUAUAAA